UACGUAGGGGGCAAGCGUUGUCCGGAAUUAUUGGGCGUAAAGCGCGCGCAGGCGGCCCAGUCAGUCUGAUGUUUAAGUCCGAGGCUCAACUUCGGGACGCAUGAGAAACUGCUGAGCUAGAGUGCAGGAGAGGAAAGCGGAAUUCCACGUGUAGCGGUGAAAUGCGUAGAGAUGUGGAGGAACACCAGUGGCGAAGGCGGCUUUCUGGCCUGUAACUGACGCUGAGGCGCGAAAGCGUGGGGAGCAAACAGG
This 252-nucleotide ribosomal RNA is filed under the name uncultured bacterium. RNAcentral's name for it is "partial 16S ribosomal RNA". It matches the Rfam family "Bacterial small subunit ribosomal RNA", at positions 524 to 776 of the family's 1533-position model. The record is from RNAcentral.